UACGAAGGGGGCUAGCGUUGCUCGGAAUCACUGGGCGUAAAGGGCGCGUAGGCGGGUCUUUAAGUCAGGGGUGAAAUCCUGGAGCUCAACUCCAGAACUGCCUUUGAUACUGAAGAGCUUGAGUUCGGGAGAGGUGAGUGGAACUGCGAGUGUAGAGGUGAAAUUCGUAGAUAUUCGCAAGAACACCAGUGGCGAAGGCGGCUCGCUGGCCCGAUACUGACGCUGAGGCACGAAAGCGUGGGGAGCAAACAGG
RNAcentral lists this ribosomal RNA (253 nucleotides) under uncultured bacterium. RNAcentral describes it as "partial 16S ribosomal RNA". It matches the Rfam family "Bacterial small subunit ribosomal RNA", at positions 524 to 776 of the family's 1533-position model. The record is from RNAcentral.